UCUCUCUCUCUCUCUCUCUCUCUCUCUCUACUCAAUUCUCUCUCAGUCAAAGCUGCUUCCAUUGCAGGUAUAUGAAUCAAGGUUUAAUGGUUUUAGCCACCAAAUCAUGUUUACUUCUUUUUAACCUAUAUCCUAGGAUUCUUAUGAAUCAAGCCUUAAUGGUUGUAGCCACCAAGUCGUGUUCGAAUCCUAUAGAAUUCUUAUGAAUCAAUCCUUAAUGGUUGUAGCCACUAAGUCCUUUUCGAAUUCUUUACCUAUACUAUUACCUAUUAUUAUUUUUUUCUUUUUCUUUUUCUUUAUUGUUUUUUGUUUUUAAAUUCUACCAAAUCAAAAUUUCGAAAUGGAGAGAGAGAGGGUGACAUAUCUACACAAGGAUUUACCUUCCAGACUUGUUUGAAGAAUCCGAUCUCAUAUAUAUCAAGCCCCAAGACAAGCAGUUUAGUCAGGUUAGGUUGGAGGUCAGCUUUGGUUCCUUCAAACAUUCUCAGCAAGCGUGGACAUAGUUGACAGGUUGAUCCACUUUAGUAUCUUUAGUACUAUCUGCAAUCAGUAAGUCUAGAAUGAUGCUAAAG
RNAcentral lists this long non-coding RNA (572 nucleotides) under Brassica rapa (field mustard). Its description in RNAcentral is "long non-coding RNA (BRAP_LNC004981)". The record is from RNAcentral. Lineage: Eukaryota; Viridiplantae; Streptophyta; Magnoliopsida; Brassicales; Brassicaceae.